This 377-nucleotide ribosomal RNA is filed under the name Klebsiella pneumoniae. RNAcentral's name for it is "bacterial SSU rRNA". It matches the Rfam family "Bacterial small subunit ribosomal RNA", at positions 579 to 955 of the family's 1533-position model. The record is from RNAcentral. Lineage: Bacteria; Pseudomonadati; Pseudomonadota; Gammaproteobacteria; Enterobacterales; Enterobacteriaceae.
UCUGUCAAGUCGGAUGUGAAAUCCCCGGGCUCAACCUGGGAACUGCAUUCGAAACUGGCAGGCUAGAGUCUUGUAGAGGGGGGUAGAAUUCCAGGUGUAGCGGUGAAAUGCGUAGAGAUCUGGAGGAAUACCGGUGGCGAAGGCGGCCCCCUGGACAAAGACUGACGCUCAGGUGCGAAAGCGUGGGGAGCAAACAGGAUUAGAUACCCUGGUAGUCCACGCCGUAAACGAUGUCGAUUUGGAGGUUGUGCCCUUGAGGCGUGGCUUCCGGAGCUAACGCGUUAAAUCGACCGCCUGGGGAGUACGGCCGCAAGGUUAAAACUCAAAUGAAUUGACGGGGGCCCGCACAAGCGGUGGAGCAUGUGGUUUAAUUCGAU